AUUGAACGCUGGCGGCAUGCCUUACACAUGCAAGUCGAACGGCAGCACGGGUGCUUGCCCCUGGUGGCGAGUGGCGAACGGGUGAGUAAUACAUCGGAACAUGUCCUGUAGUGGGGGAUAGCCCGGCGAAAGCCGGAUUAAUACCGCAUACGAUCUACGGAUGAAAGCGGGGGACCUUCGGGCCUCGCGCUAUAGGGUUGGCCGAUGGCUGAUUAGCUAGUUGGUGGGGUAAAGGCCUACCAAGGCGACGAUCAGUAGCUGGUCUGAGAGGACGACCAGCCACACUGGGACUGAGACACGGCCCAGACUCCUACGGGAGGCAGCAGUGGGGAAUUUUGGACAAAGGGCGAAAGCCUGAUCCAGCAAUGCCGCGUGUGUGAAGAAGGCCUUCGGGUUGUAAAGCACUUUUGUCCGGAAAGAAAUCCUUGGCUCUAAUACAGUCGGGGGAUGACGGUACCGGAAGAAUAAGCACCGGCUAACUACGUG
This 486-nucleotide ribosomal RNA is filed under the name uncultured bacterium. RNAcentral describes it as "partial 16S ribosomal RNA". It matches the Rfam family "Bacterial small subunit ribosomal RNA", at positions 30 to 507 of the family's 1533-position model. The record is from RNAcentral.